GAUUUCGAAACUCUGAUUUCAGAUCCUUCAAUGCAUUUUUAAUAACGUUAAAGGGCCUCUUACGUGUUUUCGGUCGAAAAUAACUCGUUCUGAAUUUAAUCGUAUACGCUCCGAAAACGUCUUGUCCGACCGCAAUAGUUUCGCGAAAAGACGUGGUAGAAUUUUCACAUUUCAUCGAAGUAUACGUAAAAUAUAUUUAUUUUUUCAAAGUUCGUU
This is a non-coding RNA of Cinara cedri, 216 nucleotides long. NCBI's taxonomy places the organism in Eukaryota, Metazoa, Arthropoda, Insecta, Hemiptera, Aphididae. The record is from the annotation of a GenBank genome assembly.